This 457-nucleotide ribosomal RNA is filed under the name uncultured bacterium. RNAcentral's name for it is "partial 16S ribosomal RNA". It matches the Rfam family "Bacterial small subunit ribosomal RNA", at positions 338 to 795 of the family's 1533-position model. The record is from RNAcentral.
CCUACGGGUGGCAGCAGUGGGGAAUAUUGCACAAUGGGGGAAACCCUGAUGCAGCGACGCCGCGUGAGUGAAGAAGUAAUUCGUUACGUAAAGCUCUAUCAGCAGGGAAGAAACACUGACCUUACGGUCAGCAGACGGUACCUGAGUAAGAAGCCCCGGCUAACUACGUGCCAGCAGCCGCGGUAAUACGGAGGAUGCGAGCGUUAUCCGGAUUUAUUGGGUUUAAAGGGGGCGUAGGCGGACUGGAAAGUCAGCGGUAAAAUCGAGAGGCUCAACCUCUUUCCGCCGUUGAAACUGGCGGUCUUGAGUGGGCGAGAAGUAUGCGGAAUGCGUGGUGUAGCGGUGAAAUGCAUAGAUAUCACGCAGAACUCCGAUUGCGAAGGCAGCAUACCGGCGCCCGACUGACGCUGAGGCACGAAAGCGUGGGUAUCGAACAGGAUUAGAUACCCUGGUAGUC